UACGGAGGGAGCUAGCGUUGUUCGGAUAUACUGGGCGUAAAGCGCACGUAGGCGGCGCCGUAAGUCAGUGGUGAAAGCCUGCAGCUUAACUGUAGAAUUGCCAUUGAUACUGCUAAUCUUGAGUACAUAUGAAGUGGGCGGAAUGUGUCAUGUAGCGGUGAAAUGCUUAGAUAUGACACAGAACACCGAUUGCGAAGGCAGCUCACUAAACUGUAACUGACGCUGAGGCACGAAAGCAUGGGGAGCAAACAGG
This 253-nucleotide ribosomal RNA is filed under the name uncultured bacterium. RNAcentral's name for it is "partial 16S ribosomal RNA". It matches the Rfam family "Bacterial small subunit ribosomal RNA", at positions 524 to 776 of the family's 1533-position model. The record is from RNAcentral.